This 947-nucleotide long non-coding RNA is filed under the name Panax ginseng (ginseng). RNAcentral's name for it is "long non-coding RNA (PGIN_LNC018143)". Lineage: Eukaryota; Viridiplantae; Streptophyta; Magnoliopsida; Apiales; Araliaceae. The record is from RNAcentral.
CUGCUCACCAUCUAUCUCAGUAACAUGACGAUCCUUGGAGGAAAUUAGGCUUUUGGGAUCAGCUAAAUUACUUCCUGAAUGCUCCUCCUCCAUGUUAAUUUCAAGAAAGGCAGAACCACCCAACACAAACACCAAUAUACUUUACCAGUUAGGUGAAUUAAGCUGUAUGUAUUAAUACUACUACUCUUUGCGUUCCUUUUUAAUUAAGAGAAAACGCAAAGAUUAAUCUUCUUCUAAAAUAUGUAACGACAAAUAAAAAAAGAGCCAAUGCUGCCGACCUAAUUAAUUCUCUAUUUUCAUAACUUUGAUGAUAUAUAGUAUAGAGUAGUUAUGAUGAAUAUAACAUAUCAAACUUUGCUGAUAAAAAGUAUUGCAGCCAAAAUCUAUUAAAAAUUUGUAUUGAAUUUAUAUGGACUGACGAUGAGGACAUCUCAAUUAUAAUAUGUGAAAUUGUCCCCAUAAUCAAACAAUAAUGAUUCCUCCACCACAAGAUUAUGGUUAAAAAAUAAAACUCUGCUCCAUGCAGACGGUAAAAGUACUGAAUUUAAUAUUUAUGCUGUCCAAUAAAACUAUAAAGUGAAAAAUUAUCAAGGGCCCUUUUGUUUUGUUUUGUAUGAUGAAUAUAUACUCCCUCAUUUUUAUAUAUUAAUUAUUAUUUUCUUUACAAUAUAGGGCAAUAUAUAUGGUCAUCAUACACAACUAUUUAUGUUUUAUUAGUGCAAAGUCUGUCAAAAUUACGUCGUUUUGGCAGAUUUAUUUUAAAAAAACAGUUUCCCUUCUCCAAAUCAAAAACAAAUGUGCCAAAACAAUGUAAUUUUAACAGAUUGUGCACAAAUAAAAUAUACACAAUUUGUCUAUGACCAUUAUUCUCAUAUAUAUAUAUGAAGCUAAACCCACAAUUAUUAUCACUUGAGUGAAACCGUGUAUGUGACUACAUUCAUUCAUCA